RNAcentral lists this ribosomal RNA (92 nucleotides) under Panthera tigris altaica (Amur tiger). The record is from RNAcentral. Lineage: Eukaryota; Metazoa; Chordata; Mammalia; Carnivora; Felidae.
GUCUACGGCCAUACCACCCUGAACACACCCGAUCUCAUCUGAGCUCGGAAGCUAAGCAGGUUAAUAUAUUAACCCUGCUUAGCUGGUUAAUA